GCAUAUCAAUAAGCGGAGGAAAAGAAACCAACAGGGAUUGCCUUAGUAACGGCGAGUGAAGCGGCAACAGCUCAAAUUUGAAAGCUGGCCCUUUCAGGGUCCGCAUUGUAAUUUGUAGAGGAUGAUUCGGCGAGGGCUCCCGCCUAAGUCCCCUGGAACGGGGCGUCAUAGAGGGUGAGAAUCCCGUAUGUGGUGGGUUGCCUUAGCCAUGUGAAUCUCCUUCGACGAGUCGAGUUGUUUGGGAAUGCAGCUCUAAAUUGGAGGUAAAUUUCUUCUAAAGCUAAAUACCGGCCAGAGACCGAUAGCGCACAAGUAGAGUGAUCGAAAGAUGAAAAGCACUUUGGAAAGAGAGUUAAAAAGUACGUGAAAUUGUUGAAAGGGAAGCGCUUGCAACCAGACUUGUCCGCAGUUGCUCAGCCGGUCUCCUGACCGGCGUACUCUUCUGCGGCCAGGCCAGCAUCAGUUCGGGCGGUCGGAUAAAGACCUCGGGAAUGUAGCUCCUCUCGGGGAGUGUUAUAGCCCGGGGUGGAAUGCGGCCAGCCUGGACUGAGGAUCUCGCUUCGGCAUGGAUGCUGGCGUAAUGGUUGUAAGCGGCCCGUCUUGAAACACGGACC
RNAcentral lists this ribosomal RNA (614 nucleotides) under Lasiodiplodia gonubiensis. RNAcentral describes it as "eukaryotic LSU rRNA". It matches the Rfam family "Eukaryotic large subunit ribosomal RNA", at positions 38 to 667 of the family's 3401-position model. The record is from RNAcentral. Lineage: Eukaryota; Fungi; Ascomycota; Dothideomycetes; Botryosphaeriales; Botryosphaeriaceae.